GAACGAACGCUGGCGGCGCGCCUAAUACAUGCAAGUCGAGCGAGAAGACGUAGCAAUACGUUUGUAAAGCGGCGAACGGGUGAGGAAUACAUGGGUAACCUACCCUCGAGUGGGGAAUAACUAGCCGAAAGGUUAGCUAAUACCGCGUACGCUCCUUGGACUUCGGUUCAGGGAGGAAAGCGAUACCGUGGGUAUCGCGCUCUUGGAUGGGCUCAUGUCCUAUCAGCUUGUUGGUGAGGUAACGGCUCACCAAGGCUUCGACGGGUAGCUGGUCUGAGAGGACGAUCAGCCACACUGGCAC
Molecule: ribosomal RNA, 301 nt
Filed under: uncultured bacterium
Lineage: Bacteria
Description: bacterial SSU rRNA
Rfam family: Bacterial small subunit ribosomal RNA
Source: RNAcentral